RNAcentral lists this transfer RNA (73 nucleotides) under Dipodomys ordii (Ord's kangaroo rat). Its description in RNAcentral is "tRNA-Ala (TGC) (tRNA-Ala-TGC-13-1)". The stretch from base 1 to 65 matches the Rfam family "tRNA". Rfam says of the family: Transfer RNA (tRNA) molecules are approximately 80 nucleotides in length. Their secondary structure includes four short double-helical elements and three loops (D, anti-codon, and T loops). Further hydrogen bonds mediate the characteristic L-shaped molecular structure. tRNAs have two regions of fundamental functional importance: the anti-codon, which is responsible for specific mRNA codon recognition, and the 3' end, to which the tRNAs corresponding amino acid is attached (by aminoacyl-tRNA synthetases). tRNAs cope with the degeneracy of the genetic code in two manners: having more than one tRNA (with a specific anti-codon) for a particular amino acid; and 'wobble' base-pairing, i.e. permitting non-standard base-pairing at the 3rd anti-codon position. The record is from RNAcentral. Lineage: Eukaryota; Metazoa; Chordata; Mammalia; Rodentia; Heteromyidae.
GGUGGCUCAGUGGUAGAGCGCUUGCCUUGCAUGCAAGAGGCCCUGGGUUCGAUUCCCCAGCACCACAUAAACA